RNAcentral lists this ribosomal RNA (292 nucleotides) under uncultured bacterium. RNAcentral's name for it is "partial 16S ribosomal RNA". It matches the Rfam family "Bacterial small subunit ribosomal RNA", at positions 505 to 796 of the family's 1533-position model. The record is from RNAcentral.
GUGCCAGCCGCCGCGGUAAAACGUAGGAGGCGAGCGUUAUCCGGAUUUACUGGGCGUAAAGCGCGUGCAGGCGGUUCGGCAAGUUGGAUGUGAAAUCUCCCGGCUCAACUGGGAGGAGUCGUUCAAUACUACCGGACUUGAGGGCAGUAGAGGAAGGUGGAAUUCCCGGUGUAGUGGUGAAAUGCGUAGAUAUCGGGAGGAACACCAGUGGCGAAAGCGGCCUUCUGGACUGUACCUGACGCUCAUACGCGAAAGCUAGGGGAGCGAACGGGAUUAGAAACCCGCGUAGUCC